GGACAAUGCCACUAUUAUUGUU
RNAcentral lists this non-coding RNA (22 nucleotides) under Arabidopsis thaliana (thale cress). The record is from RNAcentral. Lineage: Eukaryota; Viridiplantae; Streptophyta; Magnoliopsida; Brassicales; Brassicaceae.